RNAcentral lists this long non-coding RNA (1010 nucleotides) under Homo sapiens (human). Its description in RNAcentral is "HSALNT0077282". Lineage: Eukaryota; Metazoa; Chordata; Mammalia; Primates; Hominidae. The record is from RNAcentral.
CAAAGAUACAGAGAAAACCGCCGAUUUUUAUGCUUAGAUUUGAUGAAGAGUGGAUAGCUGUGUAGAAAUCUGAUUGGACAAAGAGGGUAUGAUCUAAUAGUAGUAUACUGAGUGGGAAAACCCAGCAAGGCCUGUCUGUUUGGAUUUUUCUUGGCUUCUUUGUGUAACAUUCUUUCCUCCUGGGUAUGGAUCAGUAUCCUUUCUGGAAUGGGGCUCUCAUAACCUACUGUUCAACAAGCUACUCUUUAGAGGUAUGAUGGAUCUCCCCACAAAGUCUGGUUCAGGUGUCAAGACCUACACACCAAGAAACGAUGAGAAGAAUUAUCAUUCACAUGAGACUUUCUGGGGCAAGCAGAGUGGCUACCAAACAGGUCUUAAAAUGGCUUGAGAAAUCCAGGUCCCAGAUAAUAAUUAGGAAAACAAAUCAGGACCGAAACUCCAGAGAGUCUGAAAUUGGCUGACCAUGGAACACCUAACCCGAAAAUAUGCAUAUCCCUUUCAGAGGGCAAAAGCACUUUUGAAGUGGCCUCCGAUGCGAAGGUGAGAUCAGAAAUACGCCUGUGGAACCCUCUACAUGCGGAUCUGGCAAGCAUUCAACACAAACGCAAUUAGAGGGCUUACCCUUGCAUGAAAUAUUUGCUUUCCUGAUAGUCACUAACUUUAAACUUUAGGAAUGCCAGGGCAUAGUGUUUCUGUAUCAGAACUAGAAUCCUCUACUUCACUUUCUUCAGCUAUUAUUUUUGAAGUUUGCAUAUCGUAUUAAAGUCCCACCAAACAAUAAAUAGGAAAGCAUGAUUUUAUUAAAAUCCUCUUGAGACAACCGCAUCUGCCCUGGCUAUUCUUUGAUCAGGGUCUGAGAGGUUGCAGCAUGCACACUCACCCAGAGGUACUUGAGAGCAUUGUUCACGUAUUCAAUGAAUAUUGAAUGCUAGAGUGAAUCUACACUGGGCUUAGAUCAGCAUAAAUCUCCACAACUCACCUUCAAUGGUGGACACAGGCAACUAACCAGG